RNAcentral lists this ribosomal RNA (465 nucleotides) under Vreelandella stevensii. Its description in RNAcentral is "partial 16S ribosomal RNA". It matches the Rfam family "Bacterial small subunit ribosomal RNA", at positions 338 to 795 of the family's 1533-position model. The record is from RNAcentral. Lineage: Bacteria; Pseudomonadati; Pseudomonadota; Gammaproteobacteria; Oceanospirillales; Halomonadaceae.
CCUACGGGGGGCUGCAGUGGGGAAUAUUGGACAAUGGGGGCAACCCUGAUCCAGCCAUGCCGCGGGUGUGAAGAAGGCCCUCGGGUUGUAAAGCACUUUCAGUGAGGAAGAACGCCUGGUGGUUAAUACCCAUCAGGAAAGACAUCACUCACAGAAGAAGCACCGGCUAACUCCGUGCCAGCAGCCGCGGUAAUACGGAGGGUGCGAGCGUUAAUCGGAAUUACUGGGCGUAAAGCGCGCGUAGGUGGCUUGAUAAGCCGGUUGUGAAAGCCCCGGGCUCAACCUGGGAACGGCAUCCGGAACUGUCAAGCUAGAGUGCAGGAGAGGAAGGUAGAAUUCCCGGUGUAGCGGUGAAAUGCGUAGAGAUCGGGAGGAAUACCAGUGGCGAAGGCGGCCUUCUGGACUGACACUGACACUGAGGUGCGAAAGCGUGGGUAGCAAACAGGAUUAGAUACCCCGGUAGUC